ACGCUGGCGGCAGGCCUAACACAUGCAAGUCGAGCGGUAGAGAGAAGCUUGCUUCUCUUGAGAGCGGCGGACGGGUGAGUAAUGCCUAGGAAUCUGCCUGGUAGUGGGGGAUAACGUCCGGAAACGGACGCUAAUACCGCAUACGUCCUACGGGAGAAAGCAGGGGACCUUCGGGCCUUGCGCUAUCAGAUGAGCCUAGGUCGGAUUAGCUAGUUGGUGGGGUAAUGGCUCACCAAGGCGACGAUCCGUAACUGGUCUGAGAGGAUGAUCAGUCACACUGGAACUGAGACACGGUCCAGACCCCUACGGGAGGCAGCAGUGGGGAAUAUUGGACAAUGGGCGAAAGCCUGAUCCAGCCAUGCCGCGUGUGUGAAGAAGGUCUUCGGGUUGUAAAGCACUUUAAGUUGGGAGGAAGGGCAGUAAAUUAAUACUUUGCUGUUUUGACGUUACCGACAGAAUAAGCACCGGCUAACUCUGUGCCAGCAGCCGCGGUAAUACAGAGGGUGCAAGCGUUAAUCGGAAUUACUGGGGCGUAAAGCGCGCGUAGGUGGUUCGUUAAGUUGGAUGUGAAAUCCCCGGGCUCAACCUGGGAACUGCAUUCAAAACUGACGAGCUAGAGUAUGGUAGAGGGUGGUGGAAUUUCCUGU
Molecule: ribosomal RNA, 647 nt
Filed under: uncultured bacterium
Lineage: Bacteria
Description: bacterial SSU rRNA
Rfam family: Bacterial small subunit ribosomal RNA
Source: RNAcentral